RNAcentral lists this ribosomal RNA (440 nucleotides) under uncultured bacterium. Its description in RNAcentral is "partial 16S ribosomal RNA". It matches the Rfam family "Bacterial small subunit ribosomal RNA", at positions 338 to 795 of the family's 1533-position model. The record is from RNAcentral.
CCUACGGGGGGCAGCAGUGGGGGAUAUUGCACAAUGGGGGGAACCCUGAUGCAGCGACGCCGCGUGGGUGAAGAAGCGCCUCGGCGCGUAAAGCCCUGUCAGCAGGGAAGAAAAUGACGGUACCUGAAGAAUAAGCCCCGGCUAACUACGUGCCAGCAGCCGCGGUAAUACGUAGGGGGCAAGCGUUAUCCGGAUUUACUGGGGGUAAAGGGGGCGCAGACGGCAUUGCAAGCCAGGAGUGAAAGCCCGGGGCUCAACCCCAGGACUGCUCUUGGAACUGCGUGGCUGGAGUGCAGGAGGGGAAGGUGGAAUUCCUGGUGUAGCGGUGAAAUGCGUAGAUAUCAGGAGGAACACCGGUGGCGAAGGCGGCCUGCUGGACUGCAACUGACGUUGAGGCCCGAAAGCGUGGGGAGCAAACAGGAUUAGAUACCCUAGUAGUC